This 6456-nucleotide long non-coding RNA is filed under the name Canis lupus familiaris (dog). RNAcentral's name for it is "lncRNA (ENSCAFG00000055226.1)". Lineage: Eukaryota; Metazoa; Chordata; Mammalia; Carnivora; Canidae. The record is from RNAcentral.
UGCUUGGAAUAUGGCAAGCACUCAAUUAACUAAACUUCUUUUAACUCCUUCCCCUUUGUUCUCUACCUCAUCUUUUGUAACUCAUGUGUUCACUACUCACUGAGACCUUAAUUGCCUACAGAAAAACAACCAUAUAAGGAGCAUUAUUUUAAGAUAUUAUAGAUUUUUCUAUACCAUCCGCAUUCUUGUUACAAUAAUUUAAAACUUUUUAUCAAUGCAAAAAUUUCAGGGAGGCAGUAGGGGCACAUUUCAAAUCCCUGAUGACAUUAAACAGGGAGCAUAAUUUGAGUAAUCCAGAUUGAAUAUAUCCAAACAAUUUAGCUAUUCUUAACUCAUACUUGCUAUAUAUUUUUUUUCAUUUAAUCUACUUUGAAAAUAUUGUCAAGAAUUUAAAGAGAAUCUCUCCAAUGUCAGCUGUCUUUGUCAGUGUAACUGAAAAGCCUGGUUCCUGGGUCACCAGACCUAGAAUCACCAGAGGUAUGUAUUUAUGAACGAUACUGAUUCCUUAACCUUGCUCAUUCAGUUCUCUUCAAACAAGUAAAAAAAAAAAAAAACACAUGUUUUUAAUACAUUUCCUAAGUUAUUCUGCUCCCUGCUAUAGUUUAUAAACUAUCCUAACUAAGCCAGUGGUUCUCAAACAUACAUAUGUUUUUGGAACUUCCUGGGUCAGCUGCAUAUGAAUCAUUUGAAAAAGUAUUAACAAGAAACAGUUUCUGAUUCUCUGGGUCUGAGAUGGAAGCUAGAAUCUGUAUUUUUAAAAUCUCCCCAAAUAGUUCUGAUGUGUUAUCAGGUUUUGUCAUAACCACCUAUAAAAUGGAGUGUAUUCUGUAUUCUGUUCAACUGAAGCAAGCUAAUACCGUUAAUUCACCUGGAAUCUUCCUGGAUAUGCCAAUAAAGUGUUUCUCUACUUUAAGAGCCACGACAUUCUAUAUGCCUAGUUAUGUCAUGCAGCAGUGUGGUAUGGGCUAAUGCCUUGAUUUGGGGCACAGUAUUUUCAGUCUCCAAAUCUUCUUUUAAGUUGUGAUUGCUUCAUAGCAAUACUUUUCAGGCCUAGAGGCAUAAAUAGAUUGCUUGGAGAGGCUUUAAAAUUCUAGAUGUUCAAACCCCACCUCCAGAGAUCUGAUCUGAUUGAUUUGAAAUGGGACCCAGAGACCAAAAAUUGUAAAGACUCUUUAGGUGAUACUAAUGUGGGGCCAUUUCUGGAAACCACUAGUGCAUACAAAUGACUGCUCAAUUCUUGGCCUGGAGAAAUUAUUAGGAAAAGAAAAUUUUACACACCUUGAAAAAAGCAUCUCUCAUUCUCUUUAGGCUCUCAAUGCAUGUUUGUAUUUUACAACAUGAAAACUGAACUAUCCAAUUACUAAGAUCUUUUACAGCCAUAAAAUUUUAUGCUUCUGAUCUGCUGAUCUGCUAAUUCACUGGAUAUGUUUUAAAAUACCUCUUUUCCAUGUCCCAAAGUCCUUGCUUGAAGGAUGGAAAAGUCAUUUGCAAUUGACAUGCAAUGAGCCAACUGCAGUACGUGGCUUUUGGUGAUCACAGAUCUACAACUGAACCUGCCAUUCCCUAAUUGUAGACAAGUUACUUGACUCCUCUUAGCCUCAGAUUUUGCAUCCAUAAAGUAGAGGUACCAUAUUCCCAGUGUAGAUUUUUCUGUGAGGACAAAUUAAAUGACAUUUAAGUGAAUAGAUAAUGUGCUCCAUUAAAAUAAUUUACUAUAAUAAAAUAUCACUAUGAGGAAUAAAAACUACUUCCACAAUUUCAGUACUAAAACAGAAAAAUGUUAAGCAGAGAGCUUAUAAGAAUCAUUGCAAAUUUAAAUAAGCCAAAGGAAUAAUCUUCAGAAGAAGAGAAACAAAUAAAUAUAGUGUAGAAGCAUGCAUUCACAUCUUCUAUAAUUACUAAGUAAUGGAAGGGGUGUGAGGAGCUGGCAGUGGUAGCACAUAGGCAUUAUUUGCAUUACUAAACACAUACACCAUUUCUUAAAAUAAUUGGAACCCAAGUAGGCCUAAUUUCCCCUCACUGUUAUGAGCAAUCAGUAAAUUAACAGUCAAUUUAGUUUAUUAUUAGUUGGCAUAGCUCAUGUCACAGAAUGGAAUAGCAGGAAGAUUCUUAGAGGGAUUUUCUGGUAAGGACAGAGGGCCAGAAAUAUUCAACAACUUAACUUCAUCCACCACAUCAGCUCAGCCACAGCCAGUUAAUGACAUGUUAGGAAACAGAAUCAAGUCUUCAUCUACUUUUCCCAAAGUUAAAAAAAUUCUAAAAGUCGCUUUAAAAUGUUAGAGUAUAAAUUCAAUAAACAGGAAUGUAUUUGGUUAGUGGUGCAGAAAUAAAAUGAUUCCUAGCCAGACUGUGAUUAAGAUUGCUCUAAUUGCUAAUUGCAUAAUAAAUAAAAUUUUGACAUGAAUAAUCUCAACUGUUCAUUUGCACAAUUUCUAAAUUAUAGUUUAAUAAAACAAAAAAGUACCCUUAAAGGAAUUUUUUAUAUUUAUGUGUCAAAAAUGAAUAAUAUUCAAAAUAGUAUUUUUAAGUAGUUCCUAAUUGUCUUGCUUUAAAGAACAUUAGAAAUGUUUAUUUCAGAUACAACUUUAGAAAACUUCAAAAAUUAAAUUAUUUUUCUGAAUUUUCUGGCAACCAAAUUAUUAUUAGUUAUUGAAUUAGUUGUAUACAUAACAUAUGUUAAAUUAGUUGUAUAAAUAAUAAAUUAUUGAAUUAGUUGUAUACAUAACAUGUUAAAUUAGAGCUUGCUGGAAGUUUGAUGUGAAAAACAAAUAUAAAUUUUGUCUGAAAAAUUUUAAGAGUGGUUUUUUUUCAGAGGUAUGUUAACUAUGGUGACUCUUACUGCACAUGGCUGCAUUACAUUUUGAUUAAUGAAGGUGCAGGAGAUAGAAAAGCAAGCUCAUGGAUAUGGUACACAGACUAAAUUAACAACCCUGUAGUACUCAUUAUGCAAGAAAUAUGUGCCAGAGUUACAAGAGUGCCUCCCCUAUCUCAGAUUGGCCUCAUUAGCCACAUUCAUUCCCUCAGAUGAGACAAUCCUGAAGAUGCCAUCCUCCUCCAAGGCCCAUUUGCCAAAAGGGAGCUCACUAUCUGGUAGGACAGGAUAUGUGUCUUCACGGACUACCUUGAGAUAAGGCCUUCCACGCACUGGUUUUCUUCUUUAAGAGCUUUGAACAGACCGAGAAUAUCUGGUUCUAUGUAAAAGUAGGAGACGUCUCUUUUUUACAUAAUAGAUGGCCUAUCUCAAAUAUUUUACAUAUAAUUUUAAAACAAUGAAUCGAAGGACAAAGACUAUCACACUUGAGACGAGGAGUUUACUGACAAAAAAAAAUUAAUUUUGCUUUACAUUCAGUGAGAGCUCUUGUGCUGGAAGAUGUAGUGUUGGAAAUGGAAAUAGAAAAACAUAGUGAAAAUAAUGAUAUCGUUUUUUACUCUUAAAUAAAAAUGUAAAUCUCUAGAGCUAUCUGAUGGCAGUCUUAAAAAACGUGCACUUUUUCCCUUCUUUUUUUCCUUUUUUUUCUUUUUUUUUUUUAAUUUAAUGUUGGAUUUGGUAGGAGUCAGGGUUUAGUGGAGUAAUCAUGACAAUAUAAAAAUAACAUUUCCAUAAAUCAUACAUAAGAUGAAGGUAAAAAGGAAUGUUUGCUGGAGGGAAUGCAACUGGUCAGAAUUAUCGGAGUGAAAUUAUUGAGAAAAAUCAUCUUCAUUGGAAUAAUGUAGUUUAUUCAGAAUCUGAAACAACCUGUGUGUUUAUUAGAGAUUUUUAAAGGGAAAAAGUAAGGCGCUAACAAGUCUCAAUGUAGAUUCAAGUUCACAAAGCUGCAGAAAGUAGGAAAAGAGUAGUAAACGGAUUAGAACCCAAAUUACAGAUAGCACAACCUACUGCAUAAUUCGCUAGCUUUUUUUGGGCCACUGACUUCUCAUCUACCAACAGUGUGGUUGGACUUUACAUGAGAGUCACCUGAGAAGCUUUUGUUACAUCUUGAUUUCCUGAUUAGACACUCUGGUUUGGUUAGCCUGGCACAGACAUGAGCUGCCAUACACUCUUCUAGAAUUUUCCUUCUUUCCUUCUUGCUCUCUUCCAUGUGGCCACGUCUCUGCUCUGGGAGAUAUAAGAAAGAAGAGAAAAUAGUUACCAGGCAAUUUCUUUGGGAAUUCUAAUUAAACAGUUGCUAAAGGAAAAAAGUUGUAGUGGAGUUUUACAAAUGAAGAGUGGGGAUUUUACAUGUUUUCUCUUAUCUCAUUUCCUCAAGAACAUACAUACAGACACACAUAAGUCUAUACUUUUUCUACGUAGUUCAAGUGUAACUUUGAAUAAAACAAUGUAUACUCAAGUAAAGAAGGUCAAAACUCUCAUGGUGAAACAAAAUGUGCCAAUUCUAGCCAAUAUGUGAAUUGUUAAGGGUCAGUAAUCUAUAAACUAUUUGGGUGGUAAUUGUAUGUUUUAUUAAUGUAAUGUGAUUUUGCACUAUUGUACUGUCAUAUUUAAGCAGACUCUUAAAAAUACUCUGAAACCUAAAUGCCAAAUGUACAGUUUAUAGGUUCAUGUUAUUUCUGAUAAGGACUUAAUUGCAUUGUGCUAAUAGUUGUUUAAUGCUAUUAACUUUCUGUAUGUGUAUAAUUGCAAUGCAGACCCCAUAGGGUUGUUGUAAGCACACUAAUUAGUCAUCUGAAUUUUUAUAGAUAAAAUCACACAUUGAUCAGAAACCACUUUUCUACUUAUUUUUUUGUAGAGUAUUUUUCCACACUUGAAAAGACAUGAUUAUUUUAUAUCAAACAUCAGCUUUUCUUUAAAAUCUUAUUUUAGUAGCCAGUGCAUGUUUGAAAUAAAAUGUGUUAGAAAUUAUAUGAAGAUAUUAAGGUUGUGUUAUAUUAGGUUAAAAACUGCAUGCCAUUGGUGAAUCAUGCAACUUUGGGGGGGGCAUUUACACUGCCAACUCAUACAUAGGCUUCGUCUCAAUCUGUGUGCAUGAUUCAUGUCCUUUCGAAAAUUCUUUUUAAACUUGAGUAAAGUGAAAAUGUUAUUCUUAGUGCUAAUGAGCCAAUAGAAAAUGCUGCUUUGCUGUUUUCUUGGCAGCAUAAUGUGGUAAAAUCCUCCUACCCCCAAUUUUCUUCUUGGAGUCUCUUGUUGGCAAUAAAAUACAACAAAUAAAAUCAUUUGUUGACAAAUGAUACAAUUUACUGCAUAGCAAUUUACUAUGAUAAAAGCAUGAAGAUGUGAAAAAUAUCUUAAUCAGUUCCAUACUAUGAACACAAUAUUCUGGCAGCUUUUUCUACAAUCAAGAAUAGUAUGUUGUUGUUUUUUUUUUUACACUGCCAAAAUCAGUACUACUGCCAGGGAGGGGAAACAUUGAGGCCAGGUCUGCACAACAGUAAAUUGGACAAUAAAGUAGAACAUCCAGGCAGUGUGAACAGCCAAUCAGUGUACUUGGUAGAGAAGGGGGAAAAUAUUCUUCUUGGUAACUUGAGUGAUCAAGAAAAAAAAUGAUUGUGUAGAAAAUAUGAAUUUUGGCUGCAAAGACCAAGCCUCUACAUGCCAGUAAUUUGCAGUAGUCUUUGAGAACAGAAAUUAUUCCAUUCGGUGAAGCUUUGUUUACGUUUUUAUUUUUGUUUUGUGUUCUUUUUUCAGAAAAUACACUUGUGCUUUUGAAAGGGCUUAAUUCCAAACAUAAUGUAUGUGGACCAAUGACCACUUCCCAAAUGAAAUUAGUCAUUCAUCAUAAUAUAGUAAGGCUAGCACGUAGCACUCAGUGACUUAAAACAUCAAUAUAAGCAUUUAUACUGUUGGAAGGUAAUUUUAUUGCUAUGUUAUUGAAACAGGAGGGAUCCUAUUUAUACAUUUAUUUAUUUAUUUAUUUACAGAAAUUUGGUUCAUUCAAGUUCAGUUUUAACUGCUUCAGUGAAGUUUGUAGAACAGUAAGAAAAGUUGAGUCCAGCUACUCUUCCAAGUGAAAAGUCACGCUACUAAGUCUUGCUACAUCCUGGGGUAAAGCAUUAAUCCAAAUGUUGAGUAGCCAGUGCUGAUAGUGUGGAGGCCAACUUCACUGACCAGGAUGUUUUAGGUGUACGGCACUCAGCGAACAAUUGAUCUGGGCUCUUAGUUUGCUACUGUAUUGUUCCCUUCAUUGAUUCAAUUUGUAAAUAACAUAACAUGUUAUGGCAGCUAAGCAAAUAUUUUAAUAAGCCAUGCAAGGCAAAAUGCCAUGGGAGAUCUGUAUAUUCAGCUAUUUGAAAAACUUGUGUUUUCCACAAAUUAAACUGGAGAUGUCAUUUGAAAUUUCCUUCCCUUAAAAAUGCCAUCUUAACGUGGAUUUUUCUGGCCCACUGAUGUCUUUCUGGGUUUAUAAAUAUAUGGUGUGAUUGUAUAGUUAUAAUUCUUUGAAAUUUUGUUCUGCAAUUAAUAGUGACUUCAGCGAUCUGUGCUAAGAUCCCAAGGCAGAAAUAAAUGUAUAAAGGGUUUGA